RNAcentral lists this transfer RNA (76 nucleotides) under Gammaproteobacteria bacterium RIFOXYA12_FULL_61_12. RNAcentral describes it as "tRNA-Gln". It matches the Rfam family "tRNA". Rfam says of the family: Transfer RNA (tRNA) molecules are approximately 80 nucleotides in length. Their secondary structure includes four short double-helical elements and three loops (D, anti-codon, and T loops). Further hydrogen bonds mediate the characteristic L-shaped molecular structure. tRNAs have two regions of fundamental functional importance: the anti-codon, which is responsible for specific mRNA codon recognition, and the 3' end, to which the tRNAs corresponding amino acid is attached (by aminoacyl-tRNA synthetases). tRNAs cope with the degeneracy of the genetic code in two manners: having more than one tRNA (with a specific anti-codon) for a particular amino acid; and 'wobble' base-pairing, i.e. permitting non-standard base-pairing at the 3rd anti-codon position. The record is from RNAcentral. RNAcentral also lists the same sequence under 2 other names. Lineage: Bacteria; Pseudomonadati; Pseudomonadota; Gammaproteobacteria.
UGGGGCGUGGCCAAGUGGUUAAGGCACCGGAUUUUGAUUCCGGCAUUCGUAGGUUCGACUCCUACCGCCCCAGCCA